GAGGUAAUGAUUCACCAAGGCGACGAUCCGUAGCUGGUCUGAGAGGAUGAUCAGCCACACUGGGACUGAGACACGGCCCAGACUCCCACGGGAGGCAGCAGUGGGGAAUAUUGGACAAUGGGCGAAAGCCUGAUCCAGCCAUGCCGCGUGUGUGAAGAAGGUCUUCGGAUUGUAAAGCACUUUAAGUUGGGAGGAAGGGCUGUUACCUAAUACGUGACAGUUUUGACGUUACCAACAGAAUAAGCACCGGCUAACUUCGUGCCAGCAGCCGCGGUAAUACGAAGGGUGCAAGCGUUAAUCGGAAUUACUGGGCGUAAAGCGCGCGUAGGCGGUUUGAUAAGUUGGAUGUGAAAGCCCCGGGCUUAACUUGGGAGUUGCAUUCGAUACUGGUUGGCUAGAGUAUGGGAGAGGAUGGUAGAAUUCCAGGUGUAGCGGUGAAAUGCGUAGAGAUCUGGAGGAAUACCGAUGGCGAAGGCAGCCAUCUGGCCUAAUACUGACACUGAGGUGCGAAAGCAUGGGGAGCAAACAGGAUUAGAUACCCUGGUAGUCCAUGCCGUANACGAUGUCUACUAGCCGUUGGGGCCUUUGAGGCUUUAGUGGCGCAGCUAACGCGAUAAGUAGACCGCCUGGGGAGUACGGUCGCAAGACUAAAACUCAAAUGAAUUGACGGGGGCCCGCA
RNAcentral lists this ribosomal RNA (679 nucleotides) under uncultured Gammaproteobacteria bacterium. RNAcentral's name for it is "bacterial SSU rRNA". It matches the Rfam family "Bacterial small subunit ribosomal RNA", at positions 254 to 925 of the family's 1533-position model. Lineage: Bacteria; Pseudomonadati; Pseudomonadota; Gammaproteobacteria. The record is from RNAcentral.